UACAGAGGGUGCAAGCGUUGUUCGGAAUUAUUGGGCGUAAAGCGCGUGUAGGCGGCUUUGCAAGUCGGGUGUGAAAGCCCUCAGCUCAACUGAGGAAGUGCGCCCGAAACUGCAGAGCUUGAGUGCCGGAGAGGGUGGCGGAAUUCCCCAAGUGGAGGUGAAAUGCGUAGAGAUGUGGAGGAACACCGAUGGCGAAGGCAGCCCCCUGGGUCAAAACUGACGCUCAUGCACGAAAGCGUGGGGAGCAAACAGG
Molecule: ribosomal RNA, 253 nt
Filed under: uncultured prokaryote
Description: partial 16S ribosomal RNA
Rfam family: Bacterial small subunit ribosomal RNA
Source: RNAcentral